RNAcentral lists this ribosomal RNA (2846 nucleotides) under Butyricicoccus sp. AM42-5AC. RNAcentral describes it as "23S ribosomal RNA". It matches the Rfam family "Bacterial large subunit ribosomal RNA". The record is from RNAcentral. Lineage: Bacteria; Bacillati; Bacillota; Clostridia; Eubacteriales; Butyricicoccaceae.
UGGUCAAGCUGUAAAGGGCGCAAGGGGAAUGCCUUGGCACUGAGAGCCGAUGAAGGACGCGACAAGCUGCGAUAAGCUACGGGGAGCCGCAAAUGGGCUUUGAUCCGUAGAUUUCCGAAUGGGGAAACCCGGCAGAGCAAUACUCUGUCAACGUACACUGAAUACAUAGGUGUACGUGGGGAACCGCCUGAACUGAAACAUCUAAGUAGGGCGAGGAAGAGAAAUCAACCGAGAUUCCGCUAGUAGUGGCGAGCGAACGCGGAAGAGGCCAAACCGAAGGUAGCAAUAUCUUCGGGGUUAGGACUGCAAUAUGUAACUUUAAUCUUUAACUGAAUGCUUUGGGAAGAGCAGCGACACAGGGUGACAGCCCCGUAAGUGAAAAGGAUUGAGUGCUAGCAGUAUCCAGAGUACCAGCGGACACGUGAAACCCGCUGGGAAGAUGGGGGGACCAUCCUCCAAGCCUAAAUACUACUCAGUGACCGAUAGUGGAGCAGUACCGUGAGGGAAAGGUGAAAAGUACCCCGGGAGGGGAGUGAAAGAGAACCUGAAACCUUGUGCCUACAAGCACCGAGAGCACGUUAAAGUGUGAUCGGGUACUUUUUGUAGAACGGUCCGGCGAGUUAAUAUUUGCAGCGAGGUUAAGUAACUGGAGUUACGGAGCCGCAGCGAGAGCGAGUCUGAAUAGGGCGUAUGAAGUUGCAGGUAUUAGACCCGAAACCGGGUGACCUAUCCAUGAGCAGGCUGAAGCGGUGGUAAGACACCGUGGAGGGCCGCACCCACGUCUGUUGAAAAAGCCGGGGAUGACUUGUGGAUAGCGGAGAAAUUCCAAUCGAACUCGGAGAUAGCUGGUUCUCCCCGAAAUAGCUUUAGGGCUAGCGUUAUUUUAGAUUACCGGAGGUAAAGCACUGAAUGGUCUAGGGGCCGCGAGGUUACCAAAGCCUAUCAAACUCUGAAUGCCGGAUAAUUGAUGAAUAGCAGUCAGACUGUGUGAGAUAAGUCUCAUAGUCAAAAGGGAAACAGCCCAGAUCUACAGCUAAGGUCCCAAAUGAACACUAAGUGGAAAAUGAUGUGAAACUGCGAAGACAACCAGGAUGUUGGCUUAGAAGCAGCCACUCAUUCAAAGAGUGCGUAAUAGCUCACUGGUCGAGUGGUUUUGCGCAGAAAAUGUAACGGGGCUAAGUGUUCAACCGAAGCUUAGGCAUUGUACUUUGUACAUUGGGUAGGGGAGCGUCGUAUGCGGGGCGAAGUCAGAGCGGAAGCACUGGUGGACUGCAUACGAGUGAGAAUGCCGGAAUAAGUAGCGAGAAUUAUGUGAGAAUCAUAAUGGCCGAAAAUCUAAGGUUUCCUGGGGAAGGUUCGUCCGCCCAGGGUUAGUCGGGAGCUAAGCUCAGGCCGAAAGGCGUAGGCGAUGCACAUACGGUAGAAAUUCCGUAACCACCGAACUUUAAGCUAGAGGGACGCUUUCUUUAAGGUUAUCCCGGGCGAUGGUUGCCCCGGGCGUAAGGGACCGAAAUUUAGUAGGGAAGUAACUGGCGAGAGAGACGAGAAAAGCUCUAGUGUAUACUAAGGUGCCCGUACCGCAAACCGACACAGGUAGAAGGGAUGAGUAUUCUAAGGCCAACGGGAGAAGGGUUGUUAAGGAACUCGGCAAAUUGGCCCCGUAACUUCGGGAUAAGGGGCGCCUGCGAGAGCAGGCCGCAGUGAAAAGGCCCAAGCGACUGUUUAGCAAAAACACAGCUCUCUGCUAAAUCGAAAGAUGACGUAUAGGGGGUGACGCCUGCCCGGUGCUGGAAGGUUAAGGGGAGUGCUUAGCGCAAGCGAAGGUGCGAACUUAAGCCCCAGUAAACGGCGGCCGUAACUAUAACGGUCCUAAGGUAGCGAAAUUCCUUGUCAGGUAAGUUCUGACCCGCACGAAUGGCGUAACGAUUUGGGCACUGUCUCAACAGCCCGCCCGGCGAAAUUGUAGUACCGGUGAAGAUGCCGGUUUCCCGCAACUAGACGGAAAGACCCCAUGGAGCUUCACUGUAGCUUGAUAUUGGACUUCGGUAUUCCAUGUACAGGAUAGGUGGGAGGCUUGGAAGUGAGUGCGCCAGCAUUCAUGGAGCCGUCCUUGGGAUACCACUCUUGGGAUAUUGGAGUUCUAACCUGCGACCAUGAAUCUGGUCGGGGGACAUUGUCAGGUGGGCAGUUUGACUGGGGCGGUCGCCUCCAAAAGAGUAACGGAGGCGCUCAAAGGUUCGUUCAGCACGGACGGAAAUCGUGCACUGAGUGUAAACGCAUAAACGAGCCUAACUGCGAGAAUGACGGUUCGAGCAGUAACGAAAGUUGGAGUUAGUGAUCCGGCGGUAUGUGAAUGGAAAUGCCGUCGCUCAACGGAUAAAAGCUACCCUGGGGAUAACAGGCUGAUCUCCCCCAAGAGUCCACAUCGACGGGGAGGUUUGGCACCUCGAUGUCGGCUCAUCGCAUCCUGGGGCUGAAUUCGGUCCCAAGGGUUUGGCUGUUCGCCAAUUAAAGCGGUACGCGAGCUGGGUUCAGAACGUCGUGAGACAGUUCGGUCCCUAUCUGUUGCGGGCGCAGGAAUAUUGAGAGGAGCUGUCCUUAGUACGAGAGGACCGGGAUGGACGUACCGCUGGUGCACCAGUUGUUCUGCCAAGGGCAUAGCUGGGUAGCUAAGUACGGACGAGAUAAACGCUGAAGGCAUCUAAGCGUGAAACUCCCCUCGAGAUAAGUGUUCCCAUCCUUCGGGAGUAAGGCCCCUUGUAGACUACAAGGUUGAUAGGUCAGGAGUGGAAGUGCAGUAAUGUAUGGAGCGGACUGAUACUAAUAGGCCGAGGGCUUGACCUAAA